Vidua chalybeata is the source of this 7109-nucleotide RNA transcript. It is a transcript of the gene named forkhead box O4, with no coding region annotated. The transcript has 4 exons. The record is from RefSeq and is a predicted model, not a curated record. Lineage: Eukaryota; Metazoa; Chordata; Aves; Passeriformes; Viduidae.
CGCGCCCCGCCUUCCGCCGCAGGGGGAGCUGGGUGCCGUAGUCCGCUGACCGCGCCUGGCUGCCUGCUAACGCCCCAGCGGGACUACCGCUCCCGGCGUGCCCCGCGCGCGCAGGCGCGGGGAGCGGCGCUGCUCCCUGGUAAACACAGCAGCGCGGCGGCGGGCCCGGGGCGCACAAAGGGGUGGCGGGUCCGACACUCCCGGCGGGGCUAAGGCGGCGCCCAUGGCGGAGCCGGCUGGGGCCGCGGCGUCGCCGGACAUCGAUCCUGACUUUGAGCCUCAGAGCCGCCCGCGCUCCUGCACCUGGCCGUUGCCGCGGCCCGAGGCGGAGACGGGCGGCGCGGCCGGCGCGGCGGAGGAGGGCGCAGGCGGCGCGGCGGCGGGGCCCGGCCGGGCCGAGGGGGCGCGGGCGGGCGGCGCGGCGGCGCGGAAGGGCGGCUCCCGGCGCAAUGCCUGGGGCAGCCAGUCCUACGCCGAGCUCAUCAGCCAGGCUAUCGAGAGCGCCCCCGAGAAGCGGCUAACGCUGGCGCAGAUCUACGAGUGGAUGGUGCGCUCCGUCCCCUACUUCAAGGACAAGGGUGACAGCAACAGCUCCGCUGGCUGGAAGAACUCUAUUCGACAUAACCUGUCCCUGCACAGCAAGUUUAUUAAAGUCCAUAAUGAAGCCACAGGGAAGAGCUCUUGGUGGAUGCUCAAUCCUGAGGGUGGCAAAAGUGGAAAAGCACCAAGGAGAAGAGCUGCCUCCAUGGACAACAGCAGCAAACUUGCAAAAGUCAGAGGUAAAGCAUCUAGGAAGAAGCCUUCUCUCCAGUCUGCUCCAGAAUCCUCUGCUGACAGUCCUGGCUCCCAAUUUCCAAAGUGGCCUGGGAGCCCAUCCUCAAGAAGCAAUGAGGACUCUGAUGUGUGGAACACCUUCCGGCCUCGAACCAGUUCCAAUGCAAGCACCAUCAGUGCCAGGCUUUCUCCUAUCCUGACAGAGCAGGAUGACCUCCAUGAUGAAGAGCUGCUUCCUUCUCUGGUGUACUCCAGUGCAUCCAGCAACGUUCCACCAACUGUGACUGAGGAGCUCGAGCUCAUCGAUGGCUUAAAUUUGAUGUCUCCCAGCUCAUCUGUGCUAUCUACCCAGCAAUCUGCCUCGAGUGGUCAGAUCCAGAGAGAUUCCAGCUUUUCCUUGCAGAGCCCAAAUGCGGCUGGUCAGACUUUUGGCAACUCCCUUUUUAACCCUGUUGAUAUUUCACUGCAAAGCUCUGUCAGCCAUUUCUCUGCCCCUCAGACCUUGGAAGCUCUUCUGACACCCAGCUCUCCACCUCCAAGGGAUGUCAUGAUGACUCAGGUGGAUCCAGUUCUCCCACAGACUGGUAACAGGAUGAGCAGCCGAACUCUUCUGCUUCUGGGUGGACAAGCUGCCCAGAGUAAGAUGAGCUCAGGCAAUCCACGAGGAAAGCCUGCAGAGCUGCAGGCAGAACCAGUUGGUGCCAGUGUUUUGCCAUCAACGCUUCCCAUAGUGACAUCUCCUCAAAACACUGCCAGCAUCACCAGCUUGAAGGCUCCAGUUUCUGCAACAACUGCCCAGUCAGUCCAGCUGGGCAGUCCAGUGCUCCUUUCAUCUGCCAGCCCUGCUUCCCUGGGAUUGAACCAGGACAGGCUGCCCACUGACCUGGACAUUGACAUGUACAUGGAGAACCUUGAAUGUGAUAUGGAUUACAUAAUCAACAGUGAACUCAUGGAUGGAGGACUGGACUUCAAUUUUGAACCUAUUCUGCCUACUCCCAGCUAUCCCAGCACCUCACAGGCCUCCAACCAUACCUGGGUACCAAGUUAACUUCAGGAGCACAAAAAGAGCUUUGUUGGUGCUGUCAGCUUACCGGAGGAAUACUUACUGCUGACCUUUCUGUCUCAGUCAUACUCUGAAGCUUGGAGCUGAGCAAUUGCAUCCUCCACUUGACUCUCUGUUGAUCAAGUGUCCUUCAGGGUUCUGACUUCACUUCCCACCCCAGCAGAGAAAAGAAUGGAGCAUGUUGGAUUCAGUUUCCCUGCACAUCAUGCCUUGGGCAGAAGGGGCUGCCCAUCUGGGAAGAAGGGGCAACCUGGAUCUGGCUGCAACAGGAAGAGUUUAAAAAUAGUAAUCCUGUUAUGUGCCAUGGCUCUUCCUACAAACCCGACCCUGCCUUGGACCACCUGGAGAAACCCAUGUCCAAAGAGGAGCCCUGGUAAAAACCUCAGCCAGAAGACUCUGUGCCAGGCAAUAGUGUUUUCCUGUGUGAUGAGUUGGGUGUGCUGGAGGAAUCUCUCACUGGCUGUCCUCUCUCUGCCACGGCAGAAAGUCUCCCAGUGCCUCAGACUGGUGGAGGGCUGGCUCUGUUCUUGCUUGGCUUGCCUCACGGGGCAAAGUGGUUGGACUCUCUGAUUAAGCCACCAGACGUGCACUUGGUAUCCCACAGACUCGCAGAGGAAUUGGUGGGAGCCUGCUGGGAGAAGCCCUGUGGGAGAAGGGUGUGCUGUUUCAGGGGUUGGUUUCAGUGUGCCUAUCACUGGAGCAUCCAUCACUGUUCUGCAGGGAAGGGUGGUUGUCGUGGUAUAGAAGGCUUCCAAUUGUCCCCCUGGUUGGAACAGGAGGACACUGAGUUUUUCACUGUGCCAACUGAGCCCCAUUGAAUCAGAAGCAUGUUUUGAGAAGUCCCUAUGCUGUCCUCAGCACUUUCCUGAUACACCAGGCUGCUGUAAAAUAAGCACAGGUGCUAGUAGCUGCUUUCUGGGACUUAAAAACAUUGUUUUGGGUUUGUUUUUGAUCUGUCUUGCUACAGCAGCAAAAUGGAAAGCCUGGGUGUGGCCUUAACAGAGCCCUGGUUGCUUUUCAGAAGGGCAUUUUCUAUAGAUGAAAUAUUUUUUUACUAAUCUGGGAACUUUCUACAGUGAACAUGAAGCCAAUGUAAUGUGUGUCCCUAUUAUGCAUCUCUCCAUCUGAGAAGGUAACAGUGACAGACUCUUUUUCAGAGCUGUAUUAGGAACAAACACAUUUGAUGUCUGAUGAUGUAUAUGAUUGAGGGGAAGGAAUUGGCAGGUCCCCGUGGUUUCAAACCACUGUGGGGAAGAGUUGUACAUUAUUGUAAUCUAUAUGUAAAAGUAGGUGCAAAUUACAUAGAAGCUUUUCUAAAUCUUUUUAAAUAUAUAUUAUAUAUUUUAAUUGAAGAACGAGAUUAUUGGAUAAAAAGAAACAAAACACAUUUGCUGCAUCUGUCCCCUUCAUACCAGAUAACACUACAGUAUGGGAUGGGGCAGGCCUAAGGCAUUUUGGGCCAAGAAGCUGAAAAUGCUGGGAAAGUGGAAAGGACACGGCCCUGUAACUGAGGAAUGGCUGCUCUCCCCAGAAGAGGCAGAGGGAAGGUGCCUGGCAGGGCAGUCAGCCACAGCUGCUCAGGCUGGGCAUUCCUGCCAAGCCAAGAGCACAAUGGAGGGAAUGCUAAUCAUUAACAGUGCUCCUUCUCAGCUAAUCCCUGAGUGACUGGCCUGCAGCUGAUCCACAGGACAGAUUCCCUAGUCUGCUGAGGAGAUGGUGUGGACUGGAUGGUGCUAGAUCUGCUGACACUCUGCAUAGCCCUUAUGGAGGGCAUGAUCAGUUGUAUUUGGUAGCUCACUUUGGUUUCUGAGGGUUUUUGUUUUCUUACUGAAGCUUCUGCUGCUGCUGGGGAACUUGAAGCCUGUAGGCUCACCCUCAGGGGUCCACCUGGGAUCCUGUUCUGUCUCUGUAUUCUUGCAGAGCAGAAAUUAGGGGUCAAAAGACAAAUUCAGAGCAUUAGUGGCAUCUUGCUGUCACUGUUUUGGUGUUUGCAGUGGCAGGAUCGGUGGGAGGCAUGGUGCUUUCAUGGUCUUCCGGUAGCUUUGGUCUGGCAGAAAGACUCUCCAGUCCUUUUUGAAGGUGGCUUCAGUUCAGAAAGUUUCUAUUAUGCAGCUACACUGUUUCACCAGCUCGUCUGCUCUGUUUUCAUUUUCAUUUGAGUGGAGAUUGGAACAGGAAUGAUUGCCUUGUUACCUCCAACAAGGAGUCUACAAAAGUCUUAUCUACAGCAUGCUAUGCCAUCAAAGCCUUGAAUAGUUCAAUAACCUUUGUUUUGGAGGCUGCCUUCAUGGCAGACCUCCCAGUGAUGUUUCAAAUUUACCCACAAUCUACAUGUCUGGCCACGCCUCAUUGUAACAAAUAAACAAAAAAGCAGCUCCUAAACUGGGAUCCCAGGUUUGCACAUUUGAGGCACGGAUGAACAUUCUCAUUGGAGUUACUUCAUUACACAAGUGGAUAGAUACCCUUCCACAACACCUGAUGGCAUGUGCCACGCAUAAGAAUCAGCCAUUCUGAGCUGUAGUGAACAGACUGGAGAGAUUUAUGUUAUUUGGCACAUAAUAUGCUACCUUGUUAGCUUGAGUCCUGAAGGGAACUUGAUCCAAUGAUGUGCAGAGCAAGUUGAAUGGCUGCCUGUGAUUCACAGCCAUGUAGCAAAGGACGAGACACCAGUAUGUGUGGUCAUGUUAAAUGUGAGUCUCUGGCUCAUUUCCCAUGAAAAUGGGACCCAAAGCAAUAGCAAAGACAGUAUUAGUACCCAGUGGUUCAGAGCAGAAGUGCACGGUGAGCUGUGUUGGGCUGGGUUAUCUGUGGGAAAGGGGCGCUGUGUGCAGGCUGUUACAAAGCGUCCCUUGAGUGGCGGCCCUGGGAGCUGGCCUGAUCUCUGCCUGCAGGCACAUCUGGCACAACCUCAGCUGCUUCGUGUCCUUGGCCAGAUCCUGCUGAAGGAGGUGCAACACCAGGGCUCAUCGUGGUUAGUGCUCUAGUGUGAGUUCAGAGAGGACCCUGUCCUUUGAGUAAGGGAUAGAGCACAUAACCUAUUUUUUCCCACAUUCCCCUGGCCAUACUUCUGGAGAUAGCACUGGAGAUGGGGGCACCUCUGGAGUAACAGGCUCCUAGCAGUGACAUUUCUGCCUUGCUGCAGUCUGUACAGGUGCUUUGUGUCUCUUCAGCACAGCAGGAGCUGUCAGUGGCUGAAGAAGCUUGAGAGUGCACUAGUGCUGAGAAUGGUGUUCAGAAGACCCGUGGAGUGCUCAAUAAACCAUGAAUGUAACGUUGCAGGCUCAAGCAAGCAACUUAUCUUCUUUUUUUUUGGGUUUAGCAGGAUAGCUUGUAUUGUGGGCACAGAGGGCAGUGAUGUAGAGAAUUUGGGAGAUCUACAGACACUUCAUUUUCAUAAACCUUGAGCUUUUUUAGCCUGAGAUACUUCCUCAUAGGACACAGGAUACUCUGCAGUUCCUAAACUGCUGCUUGCAGAAAGGCUCUACCUGGCAAGGGGUUGCUCAGUACUUGUCCAGUUUUUUGUAUUCUUGCCCAAAGCGUUUGCUACUUGCUGCUACUGGAGCCCAGAUAAUGUCUUGGUGGCUCUUCAUGCUGCAUUAGCACCACAGGCCCCAUACUUUGGGCUAGUUUUUGCUCUAGUGAAGGAUUGGGGAUUUUGAGACCAGCUGUGAGUGGGGUGAGACGGGAAGGGGCCAGUGACAUGGGGAGUGGUGCUCCUGGAUAAGUGCCUGAGGGGAGUGGGCAAGGGCCUCUUGGCAUGAAGCAUUACUUUAUGCUGUGUUCCUUGUCCUCACUGAGCUCAGGCAACAAGUUUCUCCAUCUUCAGAGGAUCAAAUGCCAUCUUACACAGCAUUGAAGCCACCAUGCAGCUCAGGGCCACAGAGGAUUCAGGUAACUAGGCCCAUAGAGCUUAGUAUGAGGCAGACUUGUUGCUUUUAUUUACUCUUGGGUUUAGCAAAUUGCUUGAACUUUCUUUAUAAUUUAAGCAUAUUUUACUUCAAAGCAUGUACUUCCAGCUUCAUAUGAGAGCUUGGAAAAUUGGAAUCUUCUGGGAGCCCUUAAUUUUCCUUGCUGGUGUGUCUAAAAACAUGUCAUCGCUAUCCUGUGCUGCUUUAAAAACAGCAGUCAGAUCAUCCUGAUGAGAGGAAUGAGGCAUUCCAGAGCCUGGAUGUAUUCAUAAACAAGAGUCAUAAUAGAAGCAAGUAGCACUAAUCAGCUUUUCCAAAAGAAAUGCCUAGAAAGCUUUUAUGUAGAUAAGAAUUUAUUAAUUUUCUUACUUAGUUGCUUAUUUAUAGCCACGUUCAAAUGCUUCAGGGCUAGCCUUGCUCCAGGAUUGAGUAACCUGUGUCUGGUGCCAUGGGUUGGAGUGCCUUGGGAGUGGUGUCCUGGACUGUCAACAAAAUGUGAAAGGGACAUGAGCAUGAACAGAGAAUAGCUUAGGGCUUGCCUCAGUUGCAUGUCUAAUGAAAAAGAUGUUCUGAUUAAUGUGGGGAAAAGCAAGCAGGGGUGACUUCUGAAGCCUGAAAGAUCUGUCCAUGUGAAGGUUUGGAGCAUGAGCUAACCCAUCACCACACUUACUUGUCCUUCAGGAAAGGGAUCCCCUCUCUUCCACUGGCGUGUGUCUCUCGCUGCACCCUGACAUGUCUGUAGCUGAUGGAAAGCCGUAUCUGAUGGAAUCAAAAUCACUCCUAAUACUGUGGUGUGAAGCAGGGAGCAAAGGCAGCAGAAGCUGAAGGUGUAAGAGCUGACAGUUACUUUUAUGGUUCUUUGGCUGAGGCAGUGUUAUGGUGUGUGGGAGAAGGGGAUGUUCUGGGACACAAAAAGAGCCCUCGUUGCUUUUUCAGAAGGGCAGUGGUGUGGGACUGGUGGUGUGGGGCUCCCCAGGGUGUCUUGAGAGGUUUGGCUAUGUAGAAGACAGGUUAUUGUCCUGAAAGCAGCUGCCUUCAUAUGGCACUGGGGUGGUUCUGUGAAAUGGUGCUUCCAGCACAGUGGAGUCUUCACCUGGUGCAGUCCCAGGAAAGGUUUCUGCAUUGCUAGCACAGAUGUCUGCUGCACCACUACCUGACAUCGUUUCCACCACAUCCCCUGUGCACUCUUCCACCUAUUUCUCACAAUAAUUUUUUUUUUUAAAUAAACCUCUGCUUUUGUUUGCUCUCUGUAGCAGUGUAACUUCUGAACCAUUACAGGCUUUGUUACCAUCUGUGCUAGCAAGACUGUAGAGUGUGCUAGACUAGGGGGGAAUGUUUGAAAAAUAAAAACCUGUAAUACUCUG